RNAcentral lists this ribosomal RNA (587 nucleotides) under uncultured Acidobacteriaceae bacterium. RNAcentral's name for it is "bacterial SSU rRNA". It matches the Rfam family "Bacterial small subunit ribosomal RNA", at positions 338 to 916 of the family's 1533-position model. The record is from RNAcentral. Lineage: Bacteria; Pseudomonadati; Acidobacteriota; Terriglobia; Terriglobales; Acidobacteriaceae.
CCUACGGGAGGCAGCAGUGGGGAAUUGUUCACAAUGGGCGCAAGCCUGAUGACGCAACGCCGCGUGGGGGAUGAAGGUCUUCGGAUUGUAAACCCCUGUCGAAUGGGACGAAAGACUCUGGAGCUAAUCAUCCGGAGAGUGACGGUACCGUUAAAGGAAGCCACGGCUAACUCUGUGCCAGCAGCCGCGGUAAUACAGAGGUGGCAAGCGUUGUUCGGAAUUACUGGGCGUAAAGGGCGCGUAGGCGGCCUUCUAAGUCAGACGUGAAAUCCCCCGGCUUAACCUGGGAACUGCGUCAGAUACUGGGAGGCUAGAGUAUGGGAGAGGGAUGUAGAAUUCCAGGUGUAGCGGUGAAAUGCGUAGAUAUCUGGAGGAAUACCGGUGGCGAAGGCGGCAUCCUGGACCAUUACUGACGCUGAGGUGCGAAAGCUAGGGGAGCAAACGGGAUUAGAUACCCCGGUAGUCCUAGCCCUAAACGAUGAAUACUUGGUGUGGCGGGUAUCGAUCCCUGCCGUGCCGAAGCUAACGCAUUAAGUAUUCCGCCUGGGGAGUACGGUCGCAAGGCUGAAACUUAAAGGAAUUGACGG